Molecule: long non-coding RNA, 2257 nt
Organism: Xenopus laevis (African clawed frog)
Lineage: Eukaryota; Metazoa; Chordata; Amphibia; Anura; Pipidae
Exons: 3
Source: RefSeq, a predicted model, not a curated record
CCUUCUUCCAGCCCACUCUGCUUUCGUAACUGCAGCAUGGACGGCUCUAUGCUACAUAUUUGUUAGCAAUGUAGACAGGCGUUCAGGUUUUGUUCCAGAAUAUUUACAUGAAUUGAUUCAAUUUUGGGAAUCAGACUUCGAAAAGAUCCUAUGAUGGUACUACUUAAUACGACUAUUCCAGUCCCGAACAAAUAUCAUUGCAAACUUAUACAAUUUAUCUUUAGGGCAGCGAAACAGACUAUUGCUACCUCCUGGAAAAAAUGUUCAAUUCCUAUAAUUAUGUUCAGACUCAAAAUGAACUGGAUUAUGGUAAAUGAGAGACUGUUGAGUAUUUCUAUAGAUAAAUAUAAUGUUUACACCAAAAUCUGGACGCCUUCGAUAACAUAUACCAGGUUACAAUAAAGAUAUUGGAUGAGAACUUUAUGGUUUAAAUUCCUAUAAUUGAAUAUGUGUAGCAACUGGUGAGGUUAGAUAGAGUUGACAUCUGCAGGAUGGAACUUUGCGUGGUUAUAAACACUGCAAUAAGGGGCAAUAUUGUAACUUCAUAUUAAACACGGAAACGGUUGUUUAAGUUUAUUGGUUUAAUUUUUGUUAAUAUGCAAUUUCCAAUGCUAAAAUGUUUCGAUUUAUGCUGUAUAACUGUGAGACAUGAUGGAAACAAGAGUUUUUCUUGACCGUCAGGGUAAUUGAAUAUGGUGACAAUGUCCUCCUCUGCGUAGGAGAGUAUCCAUUUUCUGAAAGUAAAAAUGUAUGAAAAUUAGCUAUGACGAAAGUAAAUACUGUAAUGUUAUCUAAUAAAAAAGUUUUAAAAGAAAAUGUAAUUGCUCUUGACAUAGUAACCACCUGAAUGCCAUUUUCAAAGUACUCCUUAUCCCUUCAUUAUAUACAAAUGGCUCAGUAUAGUCACAAAUGUUGGCAUGUUGAAAAAAACCCAUUCAUGCAUCUCCUAAAAGCUCUGAUACAUGUGUAAAUUUAACCACCAAUUUAUGAUGUUUUUCUAGACAAGUGAAAAAAUAAAUUGUAGAACAUAAAAAGUAUAUGAGGGGUACUACUGAACUGGAUUUAAGAGACUAUGAAGAGAAAAUUUCAAAAAUGCUCGGUCCAGACACCAUAAGUGGCAUGGAAGGCAGUUUUGACACCGAUGCAACAGGACCAGAUAACACACAAGACUCAAACCAGUAGCAGAGUCAAGAAACUUAUGUGGAAGAGGAAGAAUCCCAGCAAACACUACCAAUCUGGAAGCCAUUCCAACAGAACUAGCUGAGCCGCACAAAACCCUGGAAGCCAUUCCAAGAGAAGUAGCUGAGCCAUGGGAAACCCAAGAGAUGCAGCCUCAAGAGCAGGAGGAAACAAUCCACUAUGAGGCCGAUCCAUUUCAUCAAUCAGUUAAACAGCUGACUGCAACUCCCUCCUCAAGUACUGCUGAAAACAGAAAAAGCCAUAUACAAAUGAAACAAGCAUUGAUUCUAAUACAGCAGAACUUCAUGUCACUAAAUGACAAUUUACAGCAGACAGCAGAUGCGUCAUUGCACUUGAAAAGGCAACACCUUGAUCUGAUCCUACAUCAAAAUCAUCUUCUUAAAGAACAGAAUCCACUCAUUAUGGCUCAAAACCACCUCCUCAAACAGCAUAACUCCUGGAGGUUCAGCUACUUCUAAAAGGGGUGGGCAUCCAGUUAGGGGCAAGGCUUCAAGGGGCCAAAAAAAAUAACCUGUUAUGUAUUGGUGCCAGCUAGGUGCAAAGGCACAGCAAACUCCUUAUUUGACAUUUUCAAUCACUGUUUAAAAAAUGCCAUAGAAAUUGAGUGGCACAAUUUAACAUAAUCCUUCAUUUAUGUAUUGGUGCCAGCUAGGUGCAAAGGUACAGCAAACUCCUUAUUUGACAUUUUCAGCCACUGUUUAAAAAAUGCCAUAGAAAUUGAGUGGCACAAUUUAUCAUAAUCCUUCAUUUAUGUAUUGGUGUCAGCUAGGUGCAAAGGCACAGCAAAUUCCUUAUUUAACAAUUUCAGUCACUGUUUUAAAAAUGCCAUAGAAAUUGAGCGGCACAAUUUAUCAUAAUCCUUCAUUUAUGUAUUGGUGCCAGCUAGAUGCAAAGGCACAGCAAACUAUUUAUUUGACAUUUUCAGUCACUGUUUCAAAAAUGCCUUAGAAAUUGAGUGUCCGAAUUUCAGUGUACCAGACUUGCCAAUGUGACAGACAUUUUUUUUAAAUAUACCCCAUAGAAGGCUGGCUGAUUCACAUUACUUUAUAUGACAUGG